GUUGGGUCGAUGCUGUUUGCUGGCUGUGGUCGGUUGGGGGAAAUCUGUUUUGAACUGAUUCUCUUAAGAAUGCACCAAAUCGGCUACACCAAGGUUUCAUCUGAGAGUGCUGAUUUAUACAAUGGAGUUCUUGCACUGCCUCCUGCUGUCUUUUUAGCAUUUGUUUAUUCUUUUAUUUUUGUUAGUCCCCCCAUCCCCCUGUUAGGAUUUUUCUUUUUGUAGUAAUUGCGAAGGUAGACUAACAACUCUUCAAUUUGGUUUGUUUUGGUUUCUGUUUGUUUUGGGGCUCUUCCCUGAAUUUCUACAUCCUGUUUGGUAUGAUCCCCAUGAUGGGUUGACAGCUAACGGAUAAAGCCAGCA
This is a long non-coding RNA of Poeciliopsis prolifica (blackstripe livebearer), 360 nucleotides long. RefSeq lists it as uncharacterized. The record is from RefSeq and is a predicted model, not a curated record. NCBI's taxonomy places the organism in Eukaryota, Metazoa, Chordata, Actinopteri, Cyprinodontiformes, Poeciliidae. The transcript is spliced from 3 exons.